This 253-nucleotide ribosomal RNA is filed under the name uncultured bacterium. Its description in RNAcentral is "partial 16S ribosomal RNA". It matches the Rfam family "Bacterial small subunit ribosomal RNA", at positions 524 to 776 of the family's 1533-position model. The record is from RNAcentral.
UACGAAGGGGGCUAGCGUUGCUCGGAAUCACUGGGCGUAAAGCGCACGUAGGCGGAUCUUUAAGUCAGGGGUGAAAUCCCAAGGCUCAACCUUGGAACUGCCUUUGAUACUGGGGAUCUCGAGUCCGGAAGAGGUUGGUGGAACUGCGAGUGUAGAGGUGAAAUUCGUAGAUAUUCGCAAGAACACCAGUGGCGAAGGCGGCCAACUGGUCCGGUACUGACGCUGAGGUGCGAAAGCGUGGGGAGCAAAUAGG